AUUAAUAAGCGGAGGAAAAGAAACUAACGAGGAUUCCCUCAGUAACGGCGAGUGAAGCGGGAAAAGCCCAGCACCGAAUCCCACGCUCUAACGGGCGUCGGGAACUGUGGUGUUCAGGACAGCCGAUGGGGAUCGGUCGGAGGUCCGAGUCCUCCUGAUCGGGGCUUCACCCAGAGCGGGUGUCAGGCCUCUACGGCCACCGGCCGGUUCUCUUUGGUCGUCCUAGGAGUCGGGUUGUUUGAGAAUGCAGCCCAAAGCGGGUGGUAAACUCCAUCUAAGGCUAAAUACAGACACGAGUCCGAUAGCGCACAAGUACCGUGAGGGAAAGUU
Molecule: ribosomal RNA, 330 nt
Filed under: Mesenchytraeus straminicolus
Lineage: Eukaryota; Metazoa; Annelida; Clitellata; Enchytraeida; Enchytraeidae
Description: eukaryotic LSU rRNA
Rfam family: Eukaryotic large subunit ribosomal RNA
Source: RNAcentral